Molecule: long non-coding RNA, 1410 nt
Filed under: Pogona vitticeps (central bearded dragon)
Lineage: Eukaryota; Metazoa; Chordata; Lepidosauria; Squamata; Agamidae
Description: lncRNA (ENSPVIG00000015864.1)
Source: RNAcentral
CUCUGCCUUUUGUCCGCGGAAACAAACAAACAACAACAACAACAACAAGAAGAAGCCAACAUAACAUGGACUUACCUUUGCCCGCAGCCUAUUGUCUGUCCCUUUUCAAAAUGACAUCACGGAAAGCAAUCAUGAAAUUUACAUUGGGGGGGGCGGCGGCGGAGAGGCGACGUCAGUUCGAGAGAGUUGGAAGGUGGAGAGGUCGGAAACCGGGUUGCUUGCAAAAGGGGGGGGGAGAGUGAUGAUCAGGAGAGAGGGAGGGAAGAAGCACUUGCUAAAUCAGCCCCCACCCCCGUCUCUUUACACCGGGAACAUGCGUGGAAGGAGGAGAUCCAGUUGAAGCACCAACUAGCCUUGAUCUUAGCAUUGUGUGGAAGAAGAGCCAAUAUAAUCUUUUCAUCAGAAGGGUGCCUUGGAGUAAACGUCCUGCGACCUCAGUUGCUUUUAAGUGAAGAUGCAGAGAACUCGCUCCAUGCAAAGGAUGUUCUCUCUUGCAGACCUGCAGUCUCUGCUGAAAAGAAAAGGCACCCUAUAACCCAGGUAGGACUUAUCAGGCGUGUAGUGUUUCUGUGCUUCCUGCAUGCAGACUCCAAACACCCCCUAAUUUCCCUUUUAUUUCCCAUGAACUUUUACAUCUAUGAUUGGAUGGCUGUAAUUAUAAUUUUUGGGUGCAGAAGUUCAAUCCACUGUUCUCCACUCACCUAUUUAACUGAGGCUAGUAGGAGAAUCACCUUCCACUAAUUAGAAAAGGGCUGUUAAGCAAAUUGCCACUUUCUCCCGUUACCCUCAGGACUUUUUUUUGCAGGCUGUUGAUGUACCACAAAUGACUGCUAGAGGUGUGCAGGCAUGGGUGGUAUGAAAACAGGUAGAUGUUUUGAUGUGUGGCUUGCAAGGUUUCAUUGCUGGGUUCGUUCCCCUUGAUGCUGAUGAAGAGAAGCAACAGCUUUUGAUGCUGUCUAAAUUGAUCCAUCCGCUGCAUUGUUUUGAGUUCUUUUUUCCGGCUCUGCUCUGAAUGCAGAUAUUCAGAUUUUCUGGAAAACCCAGCAAAGGCCCAUUUCAAUUGUUGCACCCGCUCUCUUCCCCCGUCCCCUUCUUGCCAGCUCAGCCAUUAACAUAAAAGGAUGUGUUCAGCUGAGAGUGCUCCUAGAAAAAAAAAAUUCUAUCUUCUUUGACCAUGCUGUGAAGACAGGGAUAUUUUACAUCCUAAACCUCUGGCAUUCAGAAAUUCUAUUAAAGCCUUAUCGUCAGGCACCAGGCUUGCUGCUUUAACUGCAUUUCAUUGUUCUGCAUUCAAGAUAGAAUCAAAGGGAGGGAAAAGACAGGAUCAACUUUAUCCCAUGAACAAAGCCGGAUAGUCCCCUUGACUGCUAUUUAAUUCAGAUCCGUAAUGCGCCAACUUACAAAACAAAA